RNAcentral lists this long non-coding RNA (4347 nucleotides) under Bemisia tabaci. Its description in RNAcentral is "lncRNA ENSSSA1UGG000847". Lineage: Eukaryota; Metazoa; Arthropoda; Insecta; Hemiptera; Aleyrodidae. The record is from RNAcentral.
AUGGUAAAGAAUCGAUUAUUAAGGUGUUCGCUGCGAACACCCUGGUUAUCGAUCCUUUUCCAUACGUUUAAAUGGCAUAACAAUCGAUAUACCGCAAUGCACGCCACGCCACUGGUUGAGACCUCCAUCUUGAUAGGAACUACUAUUUCUGCUCAUUCGAGUAACGACGUAAGUGCCAUUUGUUUUCUAAUGCAGAUAGGUGCUUUCACGGGUGAGUCACAUAUUACAGUUCUUCCUUGCAAAAUUAAGUCCAAUUCACUGUACAACCAAAAUAAUCUCAUGAGUUUUAAUACUUCAAAGCGGUUUUAUCAAAAGUUUAAACUGUUGAUUCUUUUUUUAAUACUUCAAAGCGGUUUUAUCAAAAGUUUAAACUGUUGAUUCUUUUUUCUUCUUUUUCUUUUCUUUUUUUAGUUUAACUUACACCUAUCCCUUAGCUCGAUGGUUUAUCUUCGCAUAUGACUUCGGUCACUUUAGGAUCGGGAGAGAUCCAGAGCUGUUCGAGAACUUUCACGGUGCAAGAUUUUGAAAUGCCCUUAGAAGUUGAUACCUCCAUCGUGAUGUGAUACAGACUGCCGGCAACGACCUGAAAGAAAUUGUUCAGAGCGAAUCUCAGGUUUACAAGACAAAUUAGUAUGACUGUCCAUCCUUUCAACGAAAGAUUUUGAGCUUGCAUCAGAAAUCUAAACUUUAACAACUAGGGUAAAUCAAAAGAAACUACAUUCAUUGUGACGCGACCCCUAUUAUUCAUGUAUUUUUAAAGAUCUCGGGACUCAUGCCAUAAUGGAUAUGGUUCAUUUGAAUUUAAAUACAUCCACUUCAGAGGCAUGGUGUACUUUGCGAUAUACCGAUUGAUCUGCCAUUUAAACCUAUGGAAAAGGAUCGAUAAAUAGGGUGUUCGCAACGAACACCUUAAUAAUCGAUUCUUCACCAUAUAGCUCCAAAUGACGAAUUAUCGAUAAUCGAUCAUUCACGCCUCGCCUAAGAGAAUGAAAAGAUGAGAUCGAAUCAGAAAUGAGUGUCGAGGUGCUCAAAUCUUGGAGAAUUGUGGUUCGCAGUGGCGUGGCGUGCUUUGCGAUAUAUCGAUUCAUCUGCCAUUUAAACCUAUGGCAAAGGAUCGAUAAAAUUGGUGUUCGCAGCGAACACCUUAGAAAUCGAUUAUUUUCCAUAGGUUUAAAUGGCAGAACAAUCGAUAUAUCGCAAAGCACGCCACGCUAUUGGUGGUUCGACAGGGGACAAUGGCGUUUAGGAGUCGUAUAGAGCGCCAAGGGAGUUCUUUAGAGCGGCAUGUUCAUACGUAUACAUUCAAUCUUCGUUAAACAAUUUAAAUUUUUGAAAAGCAGGAAGACAAAUUAAAGGCUUGGUUGGAUAUCAUUGUAAACAGCACGAAUAGCAAACUUUGCAUGUUCGUACCCCGGUCCAAAACUUCGAAAAUACGAAGGAGCUUCAGAAAAUUAUGCUGAAGAUUAAUUACUUGCAAUAUCACAAUAUAUAUAUUAUUUACACGUGCAUAGAGCUCUCGUAGCGCUGACAAUAAUGUGUCACUAUUGGACGUGUUUAUGCAGCUAAAAGGAACUUUGUGCAUAGGGUUAGCGUGCAACAUAGUUCCUUUUAGUAUGACUACGUCCUAUUAUAUUAGUUGAUCAAUACAAAUUAGAAGUGUAGGUCUCUUGCUAGAAUUAUAUAAGUUUCGUGGCCGUAUAAUAACAAGAUAUUAAUGGAAACUAAGCUCUCAACAACCCGGAUCCAUUGUGUAAAUUAGACUGAUACGUAAGUAAGAAUAUUAAAGAAAUCCACAAUAGCCGAAACCAACAACGGUAAAAUCACACAACCUUGGGAAAAAGACUCAAACAAGACUAAGAGACUAAAAAAAGGGUAAUAAUCAUGCACAGAUAAGUCCAUUAGAUUUUCAUUUAUGCAUUGACAUACAUAAGUUAUCACACACGCACACAACACAUUUGUUGCCUGAAAAUAAACUCACCUGAGAGUAAGCCUCGGUAACUUUAACCAGUAUGAGUUCGUCAUUACUUCCUAGGGAAGUUUUCACAGCGGAGAAGGAGAAAUUGGCGAGCGAUUGGAUCUUCUCGUCUUUUACAUCCCUGGGAGAGAAUCCACCUGGGAGGUUUUUUUUCUCGGAUCCGUCCGCUUUUUUGGGUAGGCCCUGUGGAAUUUUCAUCAAAAAUGAUCAGAUUGAAGCGUUGAUCAUAGGAUCUAAAUGUCAAAGGCAUUUAAUGGACCGAUAGAAAAGGUACAAAAAAACAUUGUGAUACAUGUCUCUUCACUGAAAUUUCAUGUAUAACACAAUUUGCGCAUCGAAAAUUACUGAAAUCAACAGCUAAUAACUAAGAUAUUGACGUUUUUAUUUUACAUUUAUCCCGAGAAAGAAUCACUCGGUCAAAAGAAAAACAAAACUCUAAGUGAGUCAAAUUGCGCACGACAACGGUCUUGACGGGUUUCUCAAUAUUCGAUCAGUGUUCUCUUUCCACCCUGUGUUGUUCAAAGUAUUCGAAACGCGCAACAGCUGAGCCGAAGCAACAAGAUUGAGGUUGUCGCAUGUUCAUGCCGCAUAGAUUAUUACGACAUCGGUUAGUGCGCGAUUUGACUCACGUUGGUUUUUCACGAGCGAAAGGUUUGAAUUCACGUAUCAAAAAACGUUAAAUAUCUGAGUUAUAAGAGUUAAUUUCAGCAAUUUUCGUUGCCUAAAUUGAGUUCUACGGGUAAUUUUUAAAUUAAAAAAUGUAUCAGAAUGGAUUUUGUGAUCUGAUGUGGCGUAGUUCCUUUCUAUUAAACGCGAUCCAGGUAAUCUAUUGAAAACAAUAGCAUUCUAUUCCUACGUAGAGGAAAUGUUGAAAAAAUAAUUAACCCGUAGAUCGGGUCAACUAGGGCUCCAACUUAAACGAAAUUAAAAAAACUCUAGAAUCGAGUACGGUGGUUCACGAUCAGUUUGUGUUAUUCACGAUCAAUUAGAGUCGAGGAAAAGGAAAUUUAGUCUAAUUCAUGGAGUCCAUUUCAAAUAUCUCAAAGUCUCGGUAUCGAAUCGCAUUUGAGUAAAAAUUGAGUCUAACUUGUCUUUGAUACGGGCAAAUAAUAAAUUAUUAUUCUCAGCGGUGUAAAUAAUCAAUGAAAUCGAUAUAAAGUAUUUAGAAUGUGAGUGUCUAAUUCACUGGUUUACUCUUACCUCGACCUGAAAUGAGACCAGCGCCAACGCAAAUACUAGCCCUUUUGCUGAAAUCAUGUUGACACACUUAAUCGAACUUUUCAAAUGCACUUUUCACAACUGAACGGAACUAACAGCACAGUCCGCAAUUGCUAGAAUAGACAAGUAGAUGUAAUCUCAGCGUUGAAAAAAAUUGGAUCCGGACGUCAUCAUUUGGGCGUAUUUCUGCCAAACGCGACCAUGUGCACUUUGACGUGAGCCCUGCUAUGUAUAUAUUCUUAUGGGUCUCAGAGGUUACGUCUUCAUGCAAAUAUUUCCGUUCGGCAGAAAUACGUCCAUUCAUCGACUUUAUCGCCUGUUGUGAGGUCGUAAGGCAAAAGCUUGUGCACAACAUGCACAUUGCAAUCUAGAAUUAUGUCAAGAGUAGACUUAAUUAUCUGCGCGCCAUCUUUCUAGGUUACUUAACUCGUUGAAAGCAGGAGAAAGUGGGGAGCUUUCGCACACAUCGGAUAUCUACUGUGAAAAGGAGAGACUUUAUGAAAAUACGGAGCGCUGAUUCACGUUAACCGGAAGCCGCGUAUCAUUUCCGCGCACUGUCAUUUUUGGCGCGCGUUUGGCAACAUCGCAGUGAGUAGUGGUCACUGGCAGGGUUGCAAUUUUUCAUGAAAAACAAAAUCUUGAAAUUUCACGUGGAAUAUUCCAUGGAAUUUUAGAAAAAUAUGAAAUAUAUUAAAAAAUAUUUUUCAAAAUUAAAUGAGAGGCGACUGUUUUUCGCUUUGGUGUUUUUUAGUGCGUGUUGCAUAACUAGCCACAGAUAAUAGGUUUCAUAUUUUUCACAACUUUGUGAAAUUGCAUUGAAUAUUUCACGAGGAUUUUCAAUAUUUCAUAUUUUUCAUUUCACCCGUGCAACCCUGGUCCCUGGGUGGAAGUUUGUCUUGAGUACCUCUGCUGUGUUUUGAAUCUACAUGUAUCUUAAACUGAUUUAAAGAGUGCGUGAGAUCAUGAACGCCGAGCAGAACAUCGUGCAUUAAAUUAUGACUAAACAACUUGUCUGGUAUGGUCAUGUUCUACGAAUGGCAGAUGACAGAUUGCCUAAGAAGGAUUGAGUUCCUCCUGGGAUAAGACACAGGAGGCGUCCAGCAAAAUCGUGGAUAGGAGGCAUUCGAGAUGAAAUUAAGAGAUGCAAUUUGCCA